GUUAUAUGGUCAAGUGAAGAAGCGCAUACGGUGGAUGCCUUGGCAGUCAGAGGCGAUGAAAGACGUGGUAGCCUGCGAAAAGCUUCGGGGAGUCGGCAAACAGACUUUGAUCCGGAGAUGUCUGAAUGGGGGAACCCAGCCAUCAUAAGAUGGUUACCUUACACUGAAUACAUAGGUGUAUGGAGCGAACCAGGGGAACUGAAACAUCUAAGUACCCUGAGGAAAAGAAAUCAACCGAGAUUCCCUUAGUAGUGGCGAGCGAACGGGGACUAGCCCUUAAGUGGCUUUGAGAUUAGCGGAACGCUCUGGAAAGUGCGGCCAUAGUGGGUGAUAGCCCUGUACGCGAAAAUCUCUUAGUCAUGAAAUCGAGUAGGACGGAGCACGAGAAACUUUGUCUGAAUAUGGGGGGACCAUCCUCCAAGGCUAAAUACUACUGACUGACCGAUAGUGAACUAGUACCGUGAGGGAAAGGCGAAAAGAACCCGGAGAGGGGAGUGAAAUAGAUCCUGAAACCGUAUGCGUACAAGCAGUGGGAGCAGACUUUGUUCUGUGACUGCGUACCUUUUGUAUAAUGGGUCAGCGACUUAUUUUCAGUGGCGAGCUUAACCGAAUAGGGGAGGCGUAGCGAAAGCGAGUCUUAAUAGGGCGUCUAGUCGCUGGGAAUAGACCCGAAACCGGGCGAUCUAUCCAUGGGCAGGUUGAAGGUUGGGUAACACUAACUGGAGGACCGAACCGACUACCGUUGAAAAGUUAGCGGAUGACCUGUGGAUCGGAGUGAAAGGCUAAUCAAGCUCGGAGAUAGCUGGUUCUCCUCGAAAGCUAUUUAGGUAGCGCCUCAUGUAUCACUGUAGGGGUAGAGCACUGUUUCGGCUAGGGGGUCAUCCCGACUUACCAAACCGAUGCAAACUCCGAAUACCUACAAGUGCCGAGCAUGGAGACACACGGCGGGUGCUAACGUCCGUCGUGAAAAGGGAAACAACCCAGACCGUCAGCUAAGGUCCCAAAGUUAUGGUUAAGUGGGAAACGAUGUGGGAAGGCUUAGACAGCUAGGAGGUUGGCUUAGAAGCAGCCACCCUUUAAAGAAAGCGUAAUAGCUCACUAGUCGAGUCGGCCUGCGCGGAAGAUGUAACGGGGCUCAAACCAUACACCGAAGCUACGGGUAUCAUCUUCGGAUGAUGCGGUAGAGGAGCGUUCUGUAAGCCUGUGAAGGUGAGUUGAGAAGCUUGCUGGAGGUAUCAGAAGUGCGAAUGCUGACAUGAGUAACGAUAAUGGGUGUGAAAAACACCCACGCCGAAAGACCAAGGUUUCCUGCGCAACGUUAAUCGACGCAGGGUUAGUCGGUCCCUAAGGCGAGGCUGAAAAGCGUAGUCGAUGGAAAACAGGUUAAUAUUCCUGUACUUCUGGUUAUUGCGAUGGAGGGACGGAGAAGGCUAGGCCAGCUUGGCGUUGGUUGUCCAAGUUUAAGGUGGUAGGCUGGAAUCUUAGGUAAAUCCGGGAUUCUAAGGCCGAGAGCUGAUGACGAGUUAUCUUUUAGAUGACGAAGUGGUUGAUGCCAUGCUUCCAAGAAAAGCUUCUAAGCUUCAGGUAACCAGGAACCGUACCCCAAACCGACACAGGUGGUUGGGUAGAGAAUACCAAGGCGCUUGAGAGAACUCGGGUGAAGGAACUAGGCAAAAUGGCACCGUAACUUCGGGAGAAGGUGCGCCGGUGAGGGUGAAGGACUUGCUCCGUGAGCUCAUGCCGGUCGAAGAUACCAGGCCGCUGCGACUGUUUAUUAAAAACACAGCACUCUGCAAACACGAAAGUGGACGUAUAGGGUGUGACGCCUGCCCGGUGCCGGAAGGUUAAUUGAUGGGGUUAGCUAACGCGAAGCUCUUGAUCGAAGCCCCGGUAAACGGCGGCCGUAACUAUAACGGUCCUAAGGUAGCGAAAUUCCUUGUCGGGUAAGUUCCGACCUGCACGAAUGGCGUAACGAUGGCGGCGCUGUCUCCACCCGAGACUCAGUGAAAUUGAAAUCGCUGUGAAGAUGCAGUGUAUCCGCGGCUAGACGGAAAGACCCCGUGAACCUUUACUAUAGCUUUGCACUGGACUUUGAAUUUGCUUGUGUAGGAUAGGUGGGAGGCUUUGAAGCGUGGACGCCAGUUCGCGUGGAGCCAACCUUGAAAUACCACCCUGGCAACUUUGAGGUUCUAACUCAGGUCCGUUAUCCGGAUCGAGGACAGUGUAUGGUGGGUAGUUUGACUGGGGCGGUCUCCUCCUAAAGAGUAACGGAGGAGUACGAAGGUGCGCUCAGACCGGUCGGAAAUCGGUCGUAGAGUAUAAAGGCAAAAGCGCGCUUGACUGCGAGACAGACACGUCGAGCAGGUACGAAAGUAGGUCUUAGUGAUCCGGUGGUUCUGUAUGGAAGGGCCAUCGCUCAACGGAUAAAAGGUACUCCGGGGAUAACAGGCUGAUACCGCCCAAGAGUUCAUAUCGACGGCGGUGUUUGGCACCUCGAUGUCGGCUCAUCACAUCCUGGGGCUGAAGCCGGUCCAAGGGUAUGGCUGUUCGCCAUUUAAAGUGGUACGCGAGCUGGGUUUAGAACGUCGUGAGACAGUUCGGUCCCUAUCUGCCGUGGACGUUUGAGAUUUGAGAGGGGCUGCUCCUAGUACGAGAGGACCGGAGUGGACGAACCUCUGGUGUUCCGGUUGUCACGCCAGUGGCAUUGCCGGGUAGCUAUGUUCGGAAUAGAUAACCGCUGAAAGCAUCUAAGCGGGAAACUAGCCUCAAGAUGAGAUCUCACUGGAACCUUGAGUUCCCUGAAGGGCCGUCGAAGACUACGACGUUGAUAGGUUGGGUGUGUAAGCGCUGUGAGGCGUUGAGCUAACCAAUACUAAUUGCCCGUGAGGCUUGACCAUAUAACACCCAAGCAAUU
Molecule: ribosomal RNA, 2914 nt
Filed under: Pseudomonas sp. SXM-1
Lineage: Bacteria; Pseudomonadati; Pseudomonadota; Gammaproteobacteria; Pseudomonadales; Pseudomonadaceae
Description: 23S ribosomal RNA
Rfam family: Bacterial large subunit ribosomal RNA
Source: RNAcentral